This is a non-coding RNA of Camellia sinensis, 547 nucleotides long. Lineage: Eukaryota; Viridiplantae; Streptophyta; Magnoliopsida; Ericales; Theaceae. The record is from RefSeq and is a predicted model, not a curated record.
GACUCCCAAGAGUUGAAGAACUCCUUCCUGUGAAGCUAUCGAAGAGGUUUAAUCGAAAGUGCUAAUCGAUUCUCUCCUUCAAAGAUCACAUUCCGGUAAGUUCAUCUUCGAUUCUUCCUCCUCUUCUUCUUCAUUUUCUUUGUUCUGUCCAUCUUCGAUCUCUUUGUUCUUCGAUUCUUCCACUUUUUUCAUUUUUUUUCCAGAUUUUUUUUUCUGUUUCUUCGCAGCAAACGAAGAAUGAAGACAUCAAUUUUCAUUUUUUUUUUCCAGAUUUCUGUUCUGUCCAGAUUUCUGUUUCCUCUUUUUUCAUUUUUUUUUUCCAGAUUUUUGUACUCCUCCUUGGCAGCAAACGACUCCCUCUGCUCUAGUGACGACUCUUCUUCUCGUCAGUUCAAUGGAAAAAAGAUUUGUAUGGAAACCAAAAUUGAUAAAGUGCGAGUUGAAUGUAUUAAUUUCGUACUAAAGAAUAUGAGUUGAAAUCCAAUGUCAGAAAUUUCUUGGAGAGAUGCAAAAUAUGAUCAAAGAAUUCAAGAACUUACUUUUUUCA